RNAcentral lists this ribosomal RNA (303 nucleotides) under uncultured bacterium. RNAcentral's name for it is "partial 16S ribosomal RNA". It matches the Rfam family "Bacterial small subunit ribosomal RNA", at positions 507 to 809 of the family's 1533-position model. The record is from RNAcentral.
AGCAGCAGCCACGGUAAUACGUAGGGUGCAAGCGUUAAUCGGAAUUACUGGGCGUAAAGCGUGCGCAGGCGGUUAUAUAAGACAGAUGUGAAAUCCCCGGGCUCAACCUGGGAACUGCAUUUGUGACUGUAUAGCUAGAGUACGGCAGAGGGGGAUGGAAUUCCGCGUGUAGCAGUGAAAUGCGUAGAUAUGCGGAGGAACACCGAUGGCGAAGGCAAUCCCCUGGGCCUGUACUGACGCUCAUGCACGAAAGCGUGGGGAGCAAACAGGAUUAGAUACCCCCGUAGUCCCUGUCUCUUAUAA